This 688-nucleotide long non-coding RNA is filed under the name Vulpes vulpes (red fox). RNAcentral describes it as "lncRNA (ENSVVUG00000026547.1)". The record is from RNAcentral. Lineage: Eukaryota; Metazoa; Chordata; Mammalia; Carnivora; Canidae.
CAAAAGUAGAUGAAGAAGGAAGGCUCCAAAAGCAUGUCAUUGAGCAUGUCCAAAAGCAUCUCAAUGACUGAACCAUGGAGACAAAGAUUUGAAGAGUCUCCCUUCCUAGGAGUGCUCCCUGAAGGCUCCACUCUUUGGACUCCACUAAUAGAUUUCUUUGCCUUUUGGCUUUCGGCUGGAUCCGGUCAAUGGUUGGGGAGAGGAAGACACAAGCAGCAUGCCAGAGGAGAUAUGGAGGAGAGUUGGAUUGAUAUUUAUUUUCCUGGAUUUUGCCACUCAGACUUGCUUUGGGCUGGUUGCAACCCUUGACUGAAGUUCAUCCUCCUAUUAGGGACUUCUGGGUAUUUGCUUCCUCAUCUUCAUCCUUCAUCAAGCCCUUACAGCUCCAGCCUUUUGCACUAUCUCCAGUUAUUUCUCUACCUUUGCCCAUGCCUUUGUAAUAAUUCACUUUGUUAAAUUUUCUUUGAAUUAUCCAAAUUUCCUGCCACAAGCCCUCUGAUACACAAUCAGUUGGAGUUAUGGAACCCUAAAGGAAGUCUUUUAACCUAUUUAUGUGUGAUAGUUCUCCAUUGAACGUUAUGUAAUACCAGCCUUCACUUUUACCAGGAAGUUGUAAAGGCAAAAUGAGGAAGUAGAAAAAGGGGCUCUGGGAGGCUUAAAAUAAAAAAAAUAAUUACAAAGUAAGGCA